GACGAACGCUGGCGGCGUGCUUAACACAUGCAAGUCGAACGGUGAAGGGACCGGUUUUUGCUGGUUCUGGAUGAGUGGCGAACGGGUGAGUAACACGUGAGUAACCUGCCCCCUUCUUCUGGAUAACCGCAUGAAAGUGUGGCUAAUACGGGAUAUUCUGCGCCUGCUGCAUGGUGGGUGUGGGAAAGAUAUUGUUUCGGUGGGGGAUGGGCUCGCGGCCUAUCAGCUUGUUGGUGGGGUGAUGGCCUACCAAGGCGGUGAGGGGUAGGCGGCCUGAGAGGGUGGACGGGCACAGUGGGACGGAGACACGGCCCAGACUCCUGCGGGAGGCAGCAGGGGGGAAUAUUGCACAAGGGGCGCAAGCCUGAUGCAGCGACGCCGCGUGAGGGAUGGAGGCCUUCGGGUUGUAAACCUCUUUCGCCAGUGAAGCAGGCCUGUCCCUUUUGUGGGUGGGUUGACGGUAGCUGGAUAAGAAGCGCCGGCUAACUACGUG
RNAcentral lists this ribosomal RNA (493 nucleotides) under uncultured bacterium. Its description in RNAcentral is "partial 16S ribosomal RNA". It matches the Rfam family "Bacterial small subunit ribosomal RNA", at positions 28 to 507 of the family's 1533-position model. The record is from RNAcentral.